This 422-nucleotide long non-coding RNA is filed under the name Homo sapiens (human). RNAcentral describes it as "HSALNT0382829". Lineage: Eukaryota; Metazoa; Chordata; Mammalia; Primates; Hominidae. The record is from RNAcentral.
GCAAUAUCCGGAGAGAGAGAGAGAGAUUCCUGUAGAAUACAAGACAAGACUAUCACAAUGAGCUGAAAUGUUGGGUCUGUGAAAGUAAUGAGAAGCACAGUGGAAAUAAGUUUCUGAAGGAUGGAAGAGGCUGGAGGCUGGCUAGUGGGAGAAGGUUCCCAGACACGUGAGAGACCCAGCAACAGAUUAAAAUCAUCCUUACCUGACAAGAGGACUCAGUGAAUCAAUGUUGUGCAGGAAGCAUGGCACCAGCGUCUGCUUUGGGUGAGGACCUCCAGCUGCUUCCACUCAUGGUGGAAGGCAAAGGAAAACUGGCUGUGCAGAGAUCAUAUGGAUGCAGCAGGAAGAUGUUGUCUAUGACGUCAGAGCCCUCACCAGACACUUAAUUUGAUGGCAACUUGAUCUUGGACUUCUCAGUCUCC